RNAcentral lists this transfer RNA (73 nucleotides) under Corchorus capsularis. RNAcentral describes it as "tRNA-Met". It matches the Rfam family "tRNA". Rfam says of the family: Transfer RNA (tRNA) molecules are approximately 80 nucleotides in length. The record is from RNAcentral. Lineage: Eukaryota; Viridiplantae; Streptophyta; Magnoliopsida; Malvales; Malvaceae.
AGCGGGGUAGAGUAAAGGUCAACUCAUCAGGCUCAUGAUCUGAAGAUUGCAGGUUCGAAUCCCGCCCCCGCCU